Molecule: ribosomal RNA, 391 nt
Filed under: uncultured bacterium
Lineage: Bacteria
Description: bacterial SSU rRNA
Rfam family: Bacterial small subunit ribosomal RNA
Source: RNAcentral
UGGGGAAUCUUGGACAAUGGGGGCAACCCUGAUCCAGCCAUGCCGCGUGAGUGAUGAAGGCCUUAGGGUCGUAAAGCUCUUUCGCCUGUGAAGAUAAUGACGGUAGCAGGUAAAGAAACCCCGGCUAACUCCGUGCCAGCAGCCGCGGUAAUACGGAGGGGGUUAGCGUUGUUCGGAAUUACUGGGCGUAAAGCGCACGUAGGCGGAUCGGAAAGUUGGGGGUGAAAUCCCGGGGGCUCAACCCCGGAACUGCCUCCAAAACUAUCGGUCUAGAGUUCGAGAGAGGUGAGUGGAAUUCCGAGUGUAGAGGUGAAAUUCGUAGAUAUUCGGAGGAACACCAGUGGCGAAGGCGGCUCACUGGCUCGAUACUGACGCUGAGGUGCGAAAGUGU